GUGCUCACUUUGGCAGCAUGUGCACUAAAACUGAUGUGAUACAGAGAAGAUUAGGGUGACCCCUGCAGCAAGGCUGACAAGCCAAUUUAUAAAGUAUUCCACAUUGUU
RNAcentral lists this small nuclear RNA (108 nucleotides) under Procavia capensis (Cape rock hyrax). The record is from RNAcentral. Lineage: Eukaryota; Metazoa; Chordata; Mammalia; Hyracoidea; Procaviidae.